Molecule: transfer-messenger RNA, 354 nt
Filed under: Actinomycetota bacterium
Lineage: Bacteria; Bacillati; Actinomycetota
Rfam family: transfer-messenger RNA
About the family: Bacterial tmRNA, also known as 10Sa RNA or SsrA, is named for its dual tRNA and mRNA-like properties. Its role is to liberate the mRNA from a stalled ribosome.
Source: RNAcentral
GGGGCUGACUGGUCUCGACCGUGAUUAGUGCCGCCGCCAGGGGAGCGAGCCGAGGAGCCGACGCUGCCUCGUAAAUCCGCGUCGGGAACAAUAGCUGCCAACGACAACAUGGCGCUGGCGGCCUAAACAAGCCGCCUGUCGGUCUCCCGGACGCCCUGUAGGGAGAACCGGCAUCGACACAGGGCUCCACCGAGUCAGUCGCGCCAUCAGGCUGGCCGGGAAACAUGAAGAUGGCUAGGAACCUGCAACCGCCCGGCUCCGGGGUCGCAGGUCUGAACUUGUCCGGAGCCUACGCUCGUAGAGCCCCAGUGACGGGAUCGCGGGACCCGGGUUCGACUCCCGGCAGCUCCACAG